This 22-nucleotide non-coding RNA is filed under the name Arabidopsis thaliana (thale cress). Lineage: Eukaryota; Viridiplantae; Streptophyta; Magnoliopsida; Brassicales; Brassicaceae. The record is from RNAcentral.
CAAAGCUUUCAUGUUGUAGCCA